GACGAACGCUGGCGGCGUGCUUAACACAUGCAAGUCGAACGGAGCGAAUGAAAGCUUGCUUUUAUAAGCUUAGUGGCAAACGGGUGAGUAACACGUAGGCAACCUGCCGACAGGAUGGGGACAACAUUCCGAAAGGAAUGCUAAUACCGAAUGAAGUCAGAGGAGGGCAUCCUCUUCUGAUGAAAGAUGGCCUCUAUAUAUAAGCUAUCACCUGUCGAUGGGCCUGCGUCUGAUUAGCUGGUAGGUGAGGUAACGGCUCACCUAGGCGACGAUCAGUAGCCGGUCUGAGAGGAUGAACGGCCACAUUGGGACUGAGACACGGCCCAGACUCCUACGGGAGGCAGCAGUGGGGAAUCUUCCGCAAUGGGCGCAAGCCUGACGGAGCAACGCCGCGUGAGUGAAGAAGGUCUUCGGAUCGUAAAGCUCUGUUGAUGGGGACGAACGUGCCUAAUGCGAAUAGUUUUAG
Molecule: ribosomal RNA, 466 nt
Filed under: Selenomonas sp. oral taxon 140
Lineage: Bacteria; Bacillati; Bacillota; Negativicutes; Selenomonadales; Selenomonadaceae
Description: bacterial SSU rRNA
Rfam family: Bacterial small subunit ribosomal RNA
Source: RNAcentral